CAGUAGCCGCGGGAAAACAGAGGGUGCAAGCGUUAAUCGGAAUUACUGGGCGUAAAGCGCGCGUAGGUGGUUUGUUAAGUUGGAUGUGAAAGCCCCGGGCUCAACCUGGGAACUGCAUCCAAAACUGGCAAGCUAGAGUACGGUAGAGGGUGGUGGAAUUUCCUGUGUAGCGGUGAAAUGCGUAGAUAUAGGAAGGAACACCAGUGGCGAAGGCGACCACCUGGACUGAUACUGACACUGAGGUGCGAAAGCGUGGGGAGCAAACAGGAUUAGAUACCCCCGUAGUCCCUGUCUCUUAUAC
Molecule: ribosomal RNA, 301 nt
Filed under: uncultured bacterium
Lineage: Bacteria
Description: partial 16S ribosomal RNA
Rfam family: Bacterial small subunit ribosomal RNA
Source: RNAcentral